UACGUAGGGGGCUAGCGUUGUCCGGAAUCAUUGGGCGUAAAGAGCGUGUAGGCGGCCAGGUAGGUCUGCUGUGAAAACUCGAGGCUCAACCUCGAGACGUCGGCGGAAACCAUCUGGCUAGAGUCCGGAAGAGGAGAGUGGAAUUCCUGGUGUAGCGGUGAAAUGCGCAGAUAUCAGGAAGAACACCCGUGGCGAAGGCGGCUCUCUGGGACGGUACUGACGCUGAGACGCGAAAGCGUGGGGAGCGAACCGG
This 253-nucleotide ribosomal RNA is filed under the name uncultured bacterium. RNAcentral describes it as "partial 16S ribosomal RNA". It matches the Rfam family "Bacterial small subunit ribosomal RNA", at positions 524 to 776 of the family's 1533-position model. The record is from RNAcentral.